AACAAGAGUUGACCCGAGCCCUUGCUCUUGAGAAGGUACCGACAUAUGUUCUUGUUAUGCUUAACCAGCUGAUCGUGCAUCUUGUUCAACUAUUUGCUUAUGAUCUCUUUCUAGUAUCUAUAAUCUAUGACCAUAUUAAAAGAGAACCUUGCAUUAUGACCAUAUUAAAAGAGAACCUUGCAUGCAUUGUUGUGUUGUAUAGAUGCAAAUAGCAAUUAGAAAAGAAGGGUAAUACUCUACAAGAAAUAUCACUCUCUUCCUAGUACCAAUAGCCCUAGCUACCCUCCAAUCCUCGAAAAAAAAAACCUUGUGAAAGGUCAAUUAAGAACCCGAAGAAUCAAAGAUAGCUGAGAUUGAGAAAGGGGCAAACAAUCCAGGUGUCAUGCACCUUUUAAAAGUUGAUCCUAAAUCUUUAUAUCAUGCAUGAAAAAAAGAAGAGAUUGAGAACUUGGUAUCUUGGUAUCUGUUGCUAGUGGGAGGUGCUAGGUAUCCCGUGGAUUUACUCGAGGUGCACCAAAGCU
RNAcentral lists this long non-coding RNA (521 nucleotides) under Capsicum annuum. RNAcentral's name for it is "long non-coding RNA (CANN_LNC001202)". Lineage: Eukaryota; Viridiplantae; Streptophyta; Magnoliopsida; Solanales; Solanaceae. The record is from RNAcentral.